Molecule: ribosomal RNA, 474 nt
Filed under: Streptococcus sanguinis
Lineage: Bacteria; Bacillati; Bacillota; Bacilli; Lactobacillales; Streptococcaceae
Description: bacterial SSU rRNA
Rfam family: Bacterial small subunit ribosomal RNA
Source: RNAcentral
GACGAACGCUGGCGGCGUGCCUAAUACAUGCAAGUAGAACGCUGAAGAGAGGAGCUUGCUCUUCUUGGAUGAGUUGCGAACGGGUGAGUAACGCGUAGGUAACCUGCCUGGUAGCGGGGGAUAACUAUUGGAAACGAUAGCUAAUACCGCAUAAAAUUGAUUAUUGCAUGAUAAUUAAUUGAAAGAUGCAAUUGCAUCACUACCAGAUGGACCUGCGUUGUAUUAGCUAGUUGGUGAGGUAACGGCUCACCAAGGCGACGAUACAUAGCCGACCUGAGAGGGUGAUCGGCCACACUGGGACUGAGACACGGCCCAGACUCCUACGGGAGGCAGCAGUAGGGAAUCUUCGGCAAUGGGGGGAACCCUGACCGAGCAACGCCGCGUGAGUGAAGAAGGUUUUCGGAUCGUAAAGCUCUGUUGUAAGAGAAGAACGGGUGUGAGAGUGGAAAGUUCACACUGUGACGGUAUCUACCA